Molecule: small RNA, 28 nt
Filed under: Bombyx mori (domestic silkworm)
Lineage: Eukaryota; Metazoa; Arthropoda; Insecta; Lepidoptera; Bombycidae
Description: ovarian small RNA-10956
Source: RNAcentral
ACAAGUUGUAAGCGACUGAUCUGAGUUC